MicroRNA precursor from Oryza sativa Japonica Group (Japanese rice), 197 nucleotides. It matches the Rfam family "MIR812 microRNA precursor family". The record is from Rfam. Lineage: Eukaryota; Viridiplantae; Streptophyta; Magnoliopsida; Poales; Poaceae.
AAUAAGUGCAGCCGUGGAUAUCCGUGCCCAACAUUUGACCGUCCGUCUUAUUUGAAAAUUUUGAAAAUAUUUAGUCACACAUAAAGUACUAUUUAUGUUUUAUCAUCUAAUAGCAAUAAAAAUACUAAUCAUAAAAAAAUUUCAAAUAAGACGAACGGUCAAACGUUGAACGUGAAUAGUGCAAAACUGCAUUUAUU